AUUGAACGCUGGCGGCAUGCUUUACACAUGCAAGUCGAACGGUAACAGCACUUCGGUGGCUGACGAGUGGCGAACGGGUGAGUAAUACAUCGGAACGUGCCUAGUACUGGGGUAUAACUACUCGAAAGAGUAGCUAAUACCGCAUGAGAUCGAAGGAUGAAAGCAGGGGACCUUCUGGCCUUGCGCUACUAGAGCGGCUGAUGGCAGAUUAGGUAGUUGGUGGGAUAAAAGCUUACCAAGCCGACGAUCUGUAGCUGGUCUGAGAGGACGACCAGCCACACUGGAACUGAGACACGGACCAGACUCCUACGGGAGGCAGCAGUGGGGAAUUUUGGACAAUGGGCGCAAGCCUGAUCCAGCAAUGCCGCGUGCAGGAUGAAGGCCUUCGGGUUGUAAACUGCUUUUGUACGGAACGAAAAGCCCUCUUCUAAUACAGGGGGGUCAUGACGGUACCGGAAGAAUAAGCACCGGCUAACUACGUG
RNAcentral lists this ribosomal RNA (482 nucleotides) under uncultured bacterium. Its description in RNAcentral is "partial 16S ribosomal RNA". It matches the Rfam family "Bacterial small subunit ribosomal RNA", at positions 30 to 507 of the family's 1533-position model. The record is from RNAcentral.